GACGAACGCUGGCGGCGUGCUUAACACAUGCAAGUCGAACGAAAUUAAAAAAUUAUCAUUGAGCUCUCCGAUGAGAUGGGAGCCAAGCGUCGUGACCGCGCAGCGGGCACCACGCGUUCAACAAGUGCAACACCAAGUCGAAGGGUUGAAUGGUAAUUUUUUAAUUUAGUGGCAAACGGGUGAGUAACACGUAGACAACCUGCCGACAGGAUGGGGACAACAUUCCGAAAGGAAUGCUAAUACCGAAUGAAGCGGAGGAGAGGCACCUCUCUUCCGUGAAAGAUGGCCUCUAUUUAUAAGCUAUCACCUGUCGAUGGGUCUGCGUCUGAUUAGCUGGUUGGUGAGGUAACGGCUCACCAAGGCGACGAUCAGUAGCCGGUCUGAGAGGAUGAACGGCCACAUUGGGACUGAGACACGGCCCAGACUCCUACGGGAGGCAGCAGUGGGGAAUCUUCCGCAAUGGGCGCAAGCCUGACGGAGCAACGCCGCGUGAGUGAAGAAGGUCUUCGGAUCGUAAAGCUCUGUUGACGGGGACGAACGUACGGAGUGCGAAUAGUGCUCUGUAAUG
Molecule: ribosomal RNA, 568 nt
Filed under: Selenomonas sp. oral taxon H64
Lineage: Bacteria; Bacillati; Bacillota; Negativicutes; Selenomonadales; Selenomonadaceae
Description: bacterial SSU rRNA
Rfam family: Bacterial small subunit ribosomal RNA
Source: RNAcentral